GAGUGUAAAGGCAUAUGGGAGCUUAACUGCGAGACUUACAGGUCAAGCAGAUGCGAAAGCAGGGCUUAGUGAUCUUGUGGCUCCGUGUGGAAGGGCCAUGACUAAACGGAUAAAAGUUACCCCGGGGAUAACAGGCUUAUCGCGCCCGAGCGUCCACAGCGACGGCGCGGUUUGGCACCUCGAUGUCGGCUCGUCGCAUCCUGGGGCUGAAGCAGGUCCCAAGGGUUGGGCUGUUCGCCCAUUAAAGCGGCACGCGAGCUGGGUUUAGAACGUCGUGAGACAGUUCGGUCCUUAUCCGUCGUGGGCGUAGGAGACUUGAGAGAAGCUGUCCCUAGUAUGAGAAGACCGGGAUGGACCAACCUCUAGUGUUCCAGUUGUCCCGCCAGGGGCACCGCUGGGUAGCUAUGUUGGGCAGGGAUAAGCGCUGAAAGCAUCUAAGUGCGAAGCCCCCCUCAAGAUUAGGUCUCCCGUGGUUUACCACUAAGGUCACUGGAAGACUACCAGUUUGAUAGGCCGCAGGUGUAAGCACGGCGACGUGUUCAGCCGAGCGGUACUAAUUGACCGAGAGACUUGA
This 574-nucleotide ribosomal RNA is filed under the name marine sediment metagenome. RNAcentral describes it as "LSU rRNA". It matches the Rfam family "Bacterial large subunit ribosomal RNA", at positions 2347 to 2925 of the family's 2925-position model. The record is from RNAcentral.